GAAGCUGGAUUGGCCAAAGGAAAUGGCUAAAAACAGAUUUGCAUUCAAGCCUAGUACACAUAUGGAUAGGUUACAUUCCUGCUAACACUGAAUGUGUGCCUGCCAGCUUGUGUUUUGGCGAAGCCUGAGAGACAUGAUCCUACUCUUCCCCUGUGCAUUUCCAUAGAUAUGGAAGGAAAUGUCUCAAGACAUCAUAAAUUGUUGGAUUUUAUACAUUAAUACUAUUUUUUUCACUUGGAAGUAUGUCUAGAUUAAUUCAGUAGGUAAUGUCUUUAAGCCUCAGUGAGAGAGGCAUGCUGAAGCCAAUUUUAUAAUUGUUUCAUUUUCCUGUGUAUGUUAAUACGAAAAUGAGCUUCUGGAUUUCACUGAGUCCAGAUUAGAAAAGGUCUGAAUCAAUCCAAACUGGACUGUGACAAGAUUGACAUAACUAGGUUAUGCCCUGAAAUGAAUCAUGGGAUCCCUUCCAUGUCCCAGUCUGAUGGACUGAAAUCACCAGGCAAACCUGAAUUAUCACUUGGUGACUUUGCAUAUUGAGCUAUUCUUUAUGGAAUGGCUAUGUGAACAUAGGUUAUGCUUCUAUGUGAACAUUGACACACAAACACAAUAUUAAAGUAUUUGUUAACUUAUUAACACUCCUAAGAGAUGACAAUAAUUUACAUUUCUAAAAGAUAUUAAUUAGAAGCGUUCUCCUAAAAUUGCUACAGCAUGUGUACUGACAUCCUAAUUUUAUGAGUUGGUAGAGUUAAUUUUCUUUUAAAGAAAAUAUGGCAGGAUGUCAUAAAACUCUUUAUCUUUCUAUCCAGGCUUCCUUGUGCUAUAUAAAGCAAUGCUGGCAUUUUCAUGCCAUUUGAGUAGGAGUCAGUGUUUAGUCAUCCAAUUUUAUAAUGUAACAAUCAUUGUAUAAUGUAUAUUUUCAUAGUAUAUCCUGUAGUGCCCUGGAAACCCUUGUGAAUGAUGGGUAGUUUAUUAAAUUCAAAACUACAUAUAGCAUGCCUACCAUUUGAGAUGGCCUAGUACUAACUGGCAGCAGGGGGAGUUAUUUGCUAUCGAGUUUGUUUCUAGCAAAGCUGGCAGCAAAGCCACAGUUAUUUUAUUAGCUCCAUUUAUAUCUCACAUUUCCCCACUGAGCAGAAGGUGGUAUGCAUGACCCUUCAUCUCAAUGCUAUCAUACCAACCUCCCUGUUAAGUAGGUCAGGUCAGGAGAUUGACUGCCCCAAGAUCAAGCAGUGAACUUAUAUCUCGGUGCACCCUUGAAAUGGAUCUUCCAAGUCACACUUUUGUCAUUAUACCACACUGGCUUUCUGCCAGCUGUCUCUCUCACACAUACAUACACACACUCCUCCUAAAUCUUAUUCCUCUGUUCACCUCUUUUUCUAGAUUCAGAGGGCUCCACCCCAAGACUCUGCCCAGGUACUAGUGUUUUUGUUGUUGUUCCAAAAGUUGGCAUUGCUAUCUUCAAAGGACUGCUGGUGUGACCAUUAACACCGCACAGAAAAAUCAAAGCCUCACACUGCUUUUCUGCCUGAGAGGUUUUAAAGAAUGGAACCAUGUCUCUAUUUAUGUGCCAUUCAUUAUUAGUGAAAUAAAAAUGCCACGUAAAUAUUUCAUUACAGUGAGUCCUUCAUAAUGGAAUAAAAUCAACAUACUCUGAUAAAUGCUGCUUUGUUAUUAUGGUUUGCUGGGAGGUGACCAAGCUCGUAACAUGUUUUUCUUUCCCCAGACAAUAACUACAGCUGUUGCCCCUUGAUUCCAUGCAGUCAUAUUUUAUCUGUCUAGCAACCCAAUGAACUGUCUAUUGUUAAAAUGACAAGCUGGCUCUAUAGCUUCACAUUAAGGGAACCUGUGAACAGAAUAACACCUUGUGCCUCUAAUGAUAUCAUUGGGAUAAGUAUUUUCAGGUAGUAUUUGGGUAGUGGCUUAAAAAGGACAGCUGUACUCCUCUAAUUUUAAAAUAGUGUUAGAAGUCACCAAAAAUUGUGCAGGUCGUAUCCUACCUAGAGAUGUAUGGAAAGCAGGCCUGUAGCGAGGUUCAACCCCCCCCCCCCCGAAAUUUUUCAGGUUAUAAAAAAAACUUGGUUUACUCAUGAAUUUUAACUGGUUAACCAAAUCCCCAUGCUAAGUCUAUGAGACACAAAACAUUAAGAGUCCCUCCAGGCACUAUUUCAAGCAGAUAUUGACAGGUUUGUAGCGGGGAGAGGUGUGUGCUAGGGGUUCAACCCCCCCCCCCCCCCCCGAAAUUUUCAAAACCCCUCCCGAAAUUUUUUUCUGGCUACGGCCCUGAUGGAAAGUAUACCCAUAGUUUUAACUUGCUUGACAAGAAAGCAUAAUUUGAUAUAAUGAGACACUGGGCACAUCUACACUGAUCAUUUAGGUCUGUGUGGGGCCAGAUCAGUUCUCUGGUUGUCAAAUACUGCACAGAAUUGAUUUAGGGUAAUGCAGGGCCACAUCAAAGCACCUUUGUCCCACAUUAACAAAACACAUUAAUGGUGUUAAUUGACUUCAGGUGCCUCUGAAUAGUUGUGUUGGUUUCAGAACAGAACCAGCCACAGCUGUUCCCAUUGCCAUUCCAUGUAUCCCAGGCUCAGGAAUCCCAGGGACAUGGGUUGACAGUCACUGUCUCACAUGCAAAAAUGAAACAAGGAAUUGUUUACAUCUCAAGUAUUUCCCAUCUUUUUGAAUGUGAUUCAGAAGUAUUGCAAGAACACACAUUGUCCAAGCAUGUGAUGCAGAAGUAUAGGGGUACUUUCUUGGGACAUCUUCUGUCCAAUCUAAUGCAUGUGGUCACUCAGAUAGCCACAUAUCCAGCAUGGUGCAGAAAACAUACAACCUCAUCACACUCACCAAAUUCAGCAUCCUAGAAUGCUUCCAGAUUGUUUUGGGGACGGAGCUCCAUACUGGCCAUUACAUGAUGUUGUGUAACUUCUGUCAGAGGCCCACCCCCAACCUGGGUGGAAGCGUUCUUGGAUACUUCCCUCACAACAUGGAAAGCUCCAAUGGAGCCAGAACAGAUCUUUCUCAGAAAAGUGAUGCUUUGCACAUGUCAUGGAAGAAGCUUCACCAAGAAGGAGCUGUGCAUGAGGCAACGGAUUCACUCCACUGGCCCUCUCUUUCCUCCGCAAAGGCAAGCAAAGAUCAUAAUCUGCUAGGGCCCUUACUCACAUGGAGGAGAUGUUCAUGCAUAUGUCUUCAGAUGCACAGGAGCAAAAUUUGGAAGAUAUGUAGAGUGCAGAUGCAGUAAGAUGGGUUUGUUUCACAGGCACAAACCUUCACUGCUCUUUCAUUAAUUAUGCUGAACAUUUCCGUUACUGCAAUGAAAGAGGAAAUGCAAGGACCUUGGGUAUCAUCAUGGACUUCAGAUAAUGAUACUGGGACAGAGUCAAGUGAUCUACUGGAGAAUUAUAUGUACUUGCUGCCUUCAGAAUCCUCUUCAGAAAGUGGAAUCAAGCUGUGAAACAUCAAGCCAUAUGAUUUUUGUCAGACAGUAUGAACACUGUAAAUUAGACAGCUCUCCUAAAAAUAUCAGGUUAUAAAUAAUCUUCUGCUAGUUGCUUUAUACACACAGAGUCAUACACAUCCUAGUUACAAGGAAGAACUACAAUAAUUCUAAAAUUGGAGAACGCAUCAUACAAGUUUGAAUUUCAGUAAGGUGCCUGUCUCUGACAGGAAUUGUGUUCAUGUUCAGGGAAGUAGCUGUAAAAUAACAUGAAAUUCUCAUUACUUGCUGAGACUUUAUGAUUUGAAACUUUCAGCAAAUACCGAAAUACUAUGUUGACAGAAAUAUAUCUCAAUUGAAGAACACAAAAAUAAGAAAAGAGAAAUGAUAGAUGUGCCCUACACCCCAAUCUCUUGUUUCUUGGCCUUGGCAUGUAAUGUAUUUCAUAUUGGCAUUUCAAGCUAUUUCCCAAGAUCUUAUAGAAGUUUGAUUUAGCAUGCCCUGAUCUCUGCAUGGAGUAUUUUAGAUAUGAUUUUUGUGUUGAACUUGCAAUGCUUUAGUGUAUUAUUUCUAAUUCAUGUGAAUUACCUCAAUCUCAGAGCUCCAUUAACUUGCACUUUACCAUUCACAGGCUGGCAACAUACCAAUUCUCACAUCUUAGUACUAGAAGAGAAGAAAAGACAGGGAAGGCAGGUGUGGAAAAUAGGCAAACAUUGAAGACCAUUCACCAAAUAUCAGGCUCAUUGUAGCCCUGUUAGAUCUUAGCUACCAGAAGAGGGAACACUGAGAUGUCAAAGUUCUGGUGAUCAGUUUUCUUACUGCAUUUACAUGAUGAGAAUGGAGCUCUGUUGUGGGAAUUUUGCCAGUGAUGGUUCAUUGUGUGACUGUGAACUCUAUUUGAAAAUCAUUUUCAAAUCCAGAAGACAGGAGCAGAAUUCAAAACGAUCCUGACAGAUUAGAGAGAUGGGUCGAAACUAACAAAAUGAAGUUCAACAGGGACAAAUGCAAGAUACUUCACUUAAGCAGAAAAAAACGAAAUGCAAAGAUACAGAAUGGGGGACGUCUGGUUCGACAGCAGUACAUAUGAAAAAGAUCUUGGAGUCCUUGUGGACAACAAGUUAAGCAUGAGCUACAGGAAAGGAGAUUUCAAACUACAGGAAAGGAGAUUCCACCUGAACAUCAGGAAGAACUUCCUCACUGUGAGGGCUGUUCGGCAGUGGAACUCUCUCCCCCAGACUGUGGUGGAGGCUCCUUCUUUGGAAGCUUUUAAGCAGAGGCUGGAUGGCCAUCUGUCGGGGGUGCUUUGAAUGCGAUUUCCUGCUUCUUAGCGGGGGGUUGGACUAGAUGGCCCAUGAGGUCUCUUCCAACUCUACUAUUCUAUGAUUCUAUGUGAUGCAGCAGCUAAAAAAGCCAAUGGGAUUUUGGCCUAAAUAAAUAGGACUAUAGUGUCUAGAUCCAGGGAAGUCAUGCUACCCCUCUAUUCUGCCUUGGUCAGACCACACCUGGAAUACUGUGUCCAAUUCUGGGCACCGCAAUUGAAGGGAGAUGUUGACAAGCUGGAAAGCGUCCAGAGGAGGGCGACUAAAAUGAUCAAGGGUCUGAAGAACAAGCCCUAUGAGGAGCGGCUUAAAGAACUGGGCAUGUUUAGCCUGCAGAAGAGAAGGCUGAGUGGAGACAUGAUAGCGAUAUACAAAUAUGUGAGGGGAAGUCAUAGGGACUCAUGUCCUAUUUAUAUACAGUGGUGCAGUAAAAUAUCAUGCUUUAUAUAAAGUGACAAAAUCAAGGUUUGUGUUUUGGGGGCAGUGCAGUAUUUUCAUAAUGUGGAUGGUUGAAUCCAUCAGUGUAGAACCUUUGGCCAGAGAGGGCCACACGUUCUCCAGCACAAAAGCUCUACCACAGAAGCUGUCAACAGAUGCUCCACCAUAAAAGCUAUCAAUAGCUUGUGGUUAAGGAAGCAUACCCCCUGCCCCCAAUACAGAGAUAAGUAGCUUUUUUCUUAGAUUUUUUUAGAGCAGCAUUUCUCCAAAGCUUAACUAUGCCACUUUGUAUUCAUUUCUAGAACAGCCUCAUAGAAUCAUAGGGUUAAAAGAAACCCAGUCGAACCCCCUGCCAUCCAGGAAUACACCAUCAAAGCAUUCCCAUCAGAUGGCCAUACAGCUUCUAUUUAAAAACAGAGAAAGAGGUUUUAAAACAUAACUACCUAAUCGCACUUGCCCACUAAUAGGCAUGUGGUUCUUCUUUCUGGUUCCCCCACCCCCAAAUCUGCUAAAAGCAAUGGCCCUUAUUGGCCAAAUGUAACUAUGUAGUCCCUUAAGUAUGGCUUCCACAAUGAGAGAAAUAUGUAAAUACAAAGAGGCAAAUGGUAGGGGAGAUGUGAAGAUGCUGAACCCCAACCCCAUCGAUCUCACUUCUACCUGGGGGAUGGAGUACAUGAACAACCCCACACAAACAGAAAUAAAGAAAGAAUAAAUAAAAAUCCAAGUCAUUUUUAAUGCUCAGAUGAAAACUCGGUUACUUUGUUCCUUAAAGUUAUAGUCCUUGGGCAAUUAAAAGUUCUGACACCGCUCUAGGAGAAAGUGAGUCUUGUAGUCCAUAAGAAAGUUAGAAUUGGGGCUCAGGUAUAUUUUUAGCCCUUUGGUCAUGGCGGGGAUCUAUGUUGUGAGAUUCCUAUUGGUCAAUGCUAGGAUUGUAGUAAUCAUUUGAGCAUGGGUCCCUCACUCUCAGAUUCAGUCUUCUCCAUUUGGAAAGGACUAACUGUAGCUAGAUCAAUAUCCCAUUUCCAGUACUGGUCAUCCAGAUGCUUCCUGGAAGGUAGCAAACAUUUGCCUCUUCUGUUCUCAUUUCUUUUAUGCUAGAAACUGGUAUUCAGUGCUGUGUGGAUUAUUUGCAUAGAGUUCACAGUUUGUUUCAUGCUAUUUAGUAGUAUGGAAAAUAUACCUUCUUGGAGUAUGACUUUCCAGAUUUCUGAGCUAGUACAGGCACUAGACCAUAUAGUACAGUGGCUCCCAAACUUAUUUAGCCUGCCUCCCCCUUUCCAGAAAAAAUAUGACUCAGUGCCUCCUGGAAAGGGGGGCAUGGCUUAGAAGGGUGGGCAUGGCUCCUGUUCAAGCGGGCAGGGCUGAGCCUCUCCCCUAGUCCAAGAUGCAGCGCUGCAAGGGGAGGUGAGCGGGGCCACAAAUGGGCAGCCAGGACUGGGAUGGGCGGAGUUACGAGCUCUGAGUCAGGGCUGAGCUUCUAUCCCUCUCCUGCGGUGCCUGCCAGAACAGAGGAGGCGGGGCUAAAGGAGGGGAAGGGCCUCUUCCCAAGUGCCUGAUGGGGCUGAACCUCUAUACCCCACCCCUGUGUUCUAACAAGUGCCUCAGGGGAUGUAUCAGCCCUGUCUCGUGGUCUUGGGAAGAGGCCCUGCCCCCAACCCCUAGCCCCGUCCUUUAGUCCUAAAAGGCCUCUCAGGAGAGGUAUAGAGGCUCAGCCCUGUCUCGGGCUCUUGGAAGGAGGCUCCACCUCGCCCCCUUCCCUAGUUUUGCCCUCUGUCUCCCAACAAGCGCCUCAGGAGAGGUAUAGAUUCUCAGCCCUGUCUCGGGCUCUUGGGAAGAAGCCAUGCCCACUCCUCUAGCUCCACCCCCUUUGUGUCCUAACAGGCGCCUCAGGUGCUCAGCCCUGUCUCCGGCACUUGGGAAGAGGCCCCGCCCCUUCUCUCCUCUGGCCCCACUCCCGUGUCCUAAUAGGUGCCAUCACCGCCCCCUGGGUCGCUCCAGCACCCACCAGGGGGCGGUAGCACCCACUUUGGGAAUCACUGAUAUAGAAUGAUAGUUCAGCCAGCCAUACUUCUGUUUAAUCCCCUCUUUUAAUCUUCAAAGCCCAGAAGCCAUCACAAUAUCUUAUCUCAAAAUUCCAUUAUAACAAAUAAAUGAAAUGGUAGAGCUAGGAAUGCAAAGAAAGCUCAAAAAUAGAUCAUCCCUCUUGCCAAAUGGGCCCACUAUGACAGAUGAGUCACUUGACUCCAUAACACUAAUAAAUAGAUUCUAGAACCUUUCAAGUCUAAACACUCUCAAAAUAGCCAGACUGAGACUUUUGCACUUUGACCAUAUUAUGAGAAAACAUGACUCAGUUAAAAAAUCAACAAUGUUUGUUAAGGUAGGAGAUGGUAGGAAAAGAGCAAUACCAUGUUCCAUACCCAUGGCCCUGAGUAUGCAAGAGAUGAACAUGACUAUUGAUGAUAGGAUGACUUGGAGGUCUCUCAGUCCAGAUGCCAUGGGCUGCAAUUUCCAUCAUUCAUCACAAUUGGCUCUCCUGGUUGAAGCUGUUGACAGCUAUAAUCUAACAAUUCCCAGCCAUAAUCUACGUGCUUCUCUCUUCCCUAGUCAUGAAGAUCCAUUAUUAGGUAGCACUUACAGCAAUGCUCAGCGGCUUUUGGAGUUGGUGGUCAGCUGCUGAUUAAAUCAUCUAUGUAGUAAACUAUGUGGUAAACGCUUUACACAUUUAAACCCUAAGUCGCCUGAAGACUGCUAUUUGUUACUACUAAUACAGUGCCAUUAAUGUACAAUGCAUUUAUAUUCAUGUUGUAUAAGGUUGCAUUAACGACUGUCAGAAACUAUCUAUGAUACAAUGCACUAAAAUGGCACCAGAAGCAUUAUAAAUUAUACCAAGUAUGUUUGCUGUAAUGUUUCCAUAGAUAAUAUCUUAGUCAUAAAAACAAUACUCUCUGUAUUACCAAGGACAAGCUGUAAUUGAGGACAGAUUGUUAUGGACAUAGACAUUAUUCUGAUGCCUGUCUGGGGGAAAGAAUUAGCAUUUGAAAAGACUACAGUCUUGAUCAAUCAGCUAAAAUGUGGAAUAGACCAUUUUUAGAAGGGUCAGAUUGUUGCAUGUGGACUCUUUGCCACACCUAAACUUCACAUAUUAUCUUUUCUGUGCAGUACAUAUACAUGUAGUUACUGAAUGCACAUAAGCUCUCUAGAGAAACUCAGUGAACCUGCAAUUUCCACAGAUCUGAUUUCACAUGGAUAGCUUACCUGUACACAAUUUGUACACGCAUGGGCUUUGUGUAGGAUAGCUGAGUUACCAUGUAAACAUAAAGCAAAGCCAGUGUGCUACUGUCAGGCAGAUGCUUCAGUUGGCACUUACUGGGAAACAGCAGCAGUAGCCCACAAGCUAUUGGCAAAUAGAGAUAAAUAUGUGACAUGGCUUGUCCUUCAGCCCAUAAACCAAGGGUGGGACCCCCUGCAGAUAUCCAGUGUUGUUCUAAACUAGCUGAUUGUCAUCAGAUACAGUUUGGGUUGCCAUUCAGCAACACAUUAUUCCAUGAAACCCAGAGCUAAGGACCGGGCAAAGGAGGGAGAACAAAAAGUGGCAAAAUUAUGCCUGGGGCCACUGAAUGAAAAUAGGCCAAGAAUAUAUGUAAAAUCCAGUUAACUGCAAGGCAGGAAGAAAAUGAAAUAUUUUUUUACAUUAGCUGAGCAGAUGACACAAAACAACAAGUAGCUGUUUUGUUACAUUCACUGCUAGGGCUCAUUUCUCACAUGGCUCUACUACUGCAUACAUGGCAUGUGGCACGUUUGUCCAGAACCUACAGCUAAGGCUUGGGGAAGCCUUGUUGUUUAUAGCCUUUAGGGCAGUGGUUCUCAACCUGUGUGUGCCCAGAUGUUUUGUCCUUCAACUCCCAGAAAUCCUAACAGCUGGUAAACUGUCUGGGAUUUCUUGGAGUUGUAGGCCAAAGCAUCUGAGGACCUACAGGUUGAGAACCACUGCUUUAGGAAUAUUUUUCCUACGGGCCCACUAUUGCUACUGCCAGAGUUUCUAAAAUAAGUAUGGCAAUAACUCCUAAUGCUGGCAGCCUACCAAAGGGCACAAGGAGCUCAUACAUGUGCUCAGUCUUUGUAUUCUAAUUUUCACCUUUUUCUUUUGCAAAUUAUGUUGUGCACAUGAGAUGCACUUUGUUUUGACUCCGAGAACCCAGCACUAUCUGGGAACUAGUGAAGAUGAGUGCCCGGGGUUGAAAGCACAGAAACUAAAAUAAAAAUCUCUCCUGUCACAUGUCUUUCUCAGUGUGGCAACCCAGAGAAAUAUACCAUUUCCCAGAAAUAUUGGCAAGCACCUUAAGAUGUUCCAGUGAAAAUCAGUGUCCGACUGUGAGUUUUGAACAAAACUCCAUGACCAAUUUGAUUUAUUUGUAGAAAAGAACACUAUCUUCUCCUUUGCCUCAGAUCAAAAGAAAAAUCUUUGUCCCCUAUCAUGAAGCAUGUUAAGUGUCUUGCCACUAGGUAGCAGUCAGAGAAAUAACCAAUGAACAAGACAAAGAGGAAUAAACCAGAUUGCUAAAGUAGCCAAAGGACUCUAGGAAUCAGGAAUUCAGAAGCACUGAAAACAGAAUAGCCAGGAAUGGAAGAUACUGAAUCUAAGAAUUCCAAGUUUCAGACAUGGUUAUACUCAAUUGGCUGUGAUAAUGCCCCUGAUGCUGGUUAGGAUUCUUCCAUUUCAAGAUCUGCUUGAGGUUUGUAUUUUGUUUUGUUUUUGUUUUUUUUUCAAAUGUCUUUUUUGCUGGUGUCUCUUCAGAAGCUGGAGAAGCCCAAUGUUUCAAUUCCCCUCCUGAAUGGGAACUGGAUUUCUGUUGGAAGGCCCAGGCUUUGCCUCACCUUCCUGCUCUGAUUCCUCAUGCUGGGGCCCAUCCACCUGGAUAUCCUUCUUGGUAAGGCAUGGCAGGUUCCCACAUAUUAUUAUUAUUUAUUAAUUUAUAUCCCACUUUUCUUCCCCAUCAGGGAUUCAAAGCAGCUAACAACAAGGUAUAAAACAUACAAGGUGCAUUUGGAUAAAAGGAGUAUGCAUAAUUUAAAAAUAACAAUUGAAACAUAAUAAAGCCGUUAGACCAUCAUAGAACACAUUGCAGAUUAAAAUACAUUCAACACUUUAUAUAUAGUUAAAACUAAAUAAACAUAAUCUGAAACCAUUAUCUGUCCACAUAAUUUAGCCCCUGAUCCAACAUAUUUCCCAAGUGCAUGAGGAGCCUGUACAUUUGGUGUGAGCACACAGACCUUGAGGCUAGACAUACUCUCAUCCUCUUCUGCUCAUUCAGUGUUGAAUAAUUAAUUUAAUAAUAAAAGAUUAUAUUCACAUUUGUAGAGACUGGGGAACAUUGUAAUCAGGUGAUUUGUUUGUCUGCUUAGUCUUCAGUCUGGAUGUUAAGGACCUCAUCACAUGGAGGUCCGGAAACCCGGGAGCAGUGGGGGAUAGCAGGGGAAACCAUGAGGUAGCACCCAGCUUCGCCCCCUUACUGUUGUUGGUCGUGGGCUGCCAUUCCACAGCGUGUCCUUGCUGUCCCCAGCUUCAUCCCAUGUUGUCCCCAGCUUCUUUAGUGAUGAUACAGGUAGUCGCUAUAUCCUCGGGGCUCCCUCUUAGUGCACUGCUGACAUGCUGCCAGGAAGUAGUCCUGCAUCAGUGCACUAAUAUGAGGAAAAAGCCCCUCUGAUGAGGUCACAAGAGUCAGUGGGAAGUUUCAAAGCCUCUACUCUCCUACUGUCAUUCAGUUUUGUAUCUGUAGGUUUAGAGAAGACAGUCACUCAAACAAAGAAUACUUUCAAACUAUUUUCUGAUCAUCUAAAGAGUACAUCUAGUGUGCAGAAUUAAUGCAAUUUGAAGACACUUUAACUAUCACGGCUCAAUGCUAUGGAAUCAUGGCUUUCUUUAGCCUUCUCAACCAAAGAGUGUUGGUGCUUCACCACAUUACAAACACUAGGAUUCUAUAGCAUUGAGACAUGGCAGUUAAUGUGAUGUCAAACUGUGCAUUAAUUCAACAGUAGAUCAUACAUGUAAAAUGCAAGGCCUGAGGGAAGAAUCCAUCCCACCAUGUCAUUUUCUGCUACUUACAAGACUGUGCCAGGGCAACAUCACUACAUUUAUACAGUCUUACAGCUGUAAACAGCUGAGUCCCUUCGGGUGAGAAGGGCGGGAUAUAAAUGUUGUAAAUAAACAACCCUUUGACUGUUUUUAUUGAUAUAAUACUGUUUUGUCCCAGUGUAAACUUGCCCUGAGUCCUUCGGGAGAUGGAGCGGGGUAUAAAUAUAUUAUUAUUAUUAUUAUUAUUAUUAUUAUUAUUAUUAUUAUUAUUAUUUAACCAUAAUGACAAUGUGGCCCUCAGUAAAAAUGAAUUUGACACCCCUGGUAUAGAUGCAUCCUUAGGCAGAGUAUUCUUGGUAAAGAGGAUCCCAUGUACAUCCCAAAACCAUAACUGUACCACAAUGAUUUAUUGAACUAUACAAAUGUUGAGUAGCUUGUGGGGAUUAAAGUUCAGAACAGUAAAAUUGUUUUCAAUACACCUGUAUCUCAUUUUCUACAAUGCAUCCAUUCUUUCCUUUUCUUUCAUAUCUUUUUUUUUCUUGAAGAAAGAGGAAGCUCUCUCUGGCACAAAGAUAUUGAUUAAAUCACAGGCUUUGCUCAGAAAACAAGAAUGAUAAAAUAAGAUCAAAGAGACCAUCACUGGACUUGCAACUGUGAUACAGAUACCUGGAGGUCACAAAAAGUUACCAUAUGUGUUUUGACCACCAAAACUACAUUUGGGUCUUGAAAACCUAUACCUUGCAGCUGAAUAUUAUACCUUUGAUUCCUCUUUAGAUUUUAAACUCUGAAAUUUGAAGCUUUUUCCUGAUUGAUAAGGAAGUGUAAGAAACAUUACUUUUUGGGCUACAGCUUCCAGAAUUCUUCAGCCAGCCUGGCCAAAAUAUAACUUUCCGAUAAUCUAUGAGUAAAUACACUGAAAGUGAAAAUAAUCUCUGCGUAUGUGAAUUAAUAUUCAUUUUAGAUAAUAAGGUACUUGUGUAGGUGUUUCACAGUAAGCCAUUAUCAAUGUAAAUUUAGGAAUCUCCUUUUAGGAAGCCUGAGCAAAGCUUUGGAAUAUAUUCAUGUGGGUUGUGAGAUGCAUGAUUCUCACCCCUGUGAUAGAUGAUGAGGGACAGGGACUAUCCCUCAAAAAAAUGACAUAAUAUAUACCUUUCAAACAAGAAGUUUUGCUCCUGAGGAACCAAUGAGAAGAUACAGAGGCAAUCAGACUAAAAUACAUGGGAGCUAACUUAAUUUCACAUAUCGAUUUGAAAUAAUGACGGAAUUCUGGUGGUAAACCCAGUUAAAGAAUCACUAUUAGUGUCACAAUUUCCUGGAAAUUUACCUUCUUAAAGUGAACAAACAGAAAGAUGCAGUGUCAAAUUUGCAUUCUUUUAUGUAUCUAUUUCUGCCUACAUCUUACAACGUGGUAAAGAAAGAUGUUGUAAAUAAGACACCUUGAAGCUUGAAAUUAAAAUAUUACUUAUUAACAUCAACCAUAGUGACAUUCGCAUCACACACAGGAAGUUUAGAUAAUGAAGAUAAUAUUAAAAUAAAAAUUAUUAAUAGUAUUAAACAUAAUCCUAAAUGAACCUAGUAUGCUGCUAUCAGUUUAUUGCUGUUCAGCUCUAUUUUUGUCAGCAAAAUUAAAAUGCUAAAUACUUAUAGCACUUGCAGUAUUGUUAACUGCCUGUCAUACAAUUCAGAAAUAAUAAAAUUAGAUUCCAUACAUAUCUUUUAUUUUUAGUAUCAUCUUGUAAACAAGGUAUUACAUGCACAUAUUCCUUCUGAUGCAUGUUGGACUUCACAACAAUGAGUGGCACACUUACCUACCAACACUUGCGUCUUAAGACCUAUUGGUGGACUUCACCAUUGCUCGGUUAUAACUUCCAAUUUUUUGUUCAUUUAGAAAGUUAAGUGAUCACUAUUCCUUUAACUCUAUGUUACACAACAGAUGAAACUUUUUUUCUGAUUUUCUUCUCUUUCUUCUUUCUUUCUUCAUGUUUUCUCUGCCCCCUAAUUUUUAUUCAAUUGUAACUCAAGCUACUACCUGCCCCUAGAUCAUUCUAGAGCCCCCCAGGGGGCAAUGCCCCCCACUUUGGGAGAAACUUUUCUAAUUGGUUGCUGCCACACAACCAAUAUGUAUGUUUGAGAGCCAGUGCCAUGUAAAACAUUGGACUUGGGUUCACAUCUGUAUUGAAGUUCUAUAGCGAUACUAGCUGUGCCCGGCCACGUGUUGCUGUGGCGAAGUAUGGUGGUAUGAGAAAUAAAGUAUUGAGGAAUUGGUGGUAGUUAAGGUAAAGGUUUUCUCCUGACAUAGUCGUGUCUGACUCUGGGGGUUGUUGCUCAUCUCCAUUUCUAAGCCGAAGAGCCGGCAUUGUCCGUAGACUCCUCCAAGGUCAUGUGGCCGGCAUGACUGCAUGGAGCGCCAUUACCUUCUCACUGGAGCAAUACCUAUUCAUCUACUCUCAUUUGCAUGUUUUUGAACUUCUGGGUUGGCAGAAGCUGGGGCUAACAGUGGGGGCUCUCUCCGCACCCCCAAUUCAAACCUGUGGCCUUUCAGUCCAGAAAUUCAGUAGCUCAGCGCUUUAACAUGCUGCGCAAUCAGGAUAUUAUUUCCUAAAGGUUGUGAAUAUACAAUAUUUCUGAUUUUUUUUUUGUCUGAUGGAGGCAAGUAUGAAUGCUGCAAUUAGGGAAAAUGAUUAGCAUGUAAUGGCCUUGCAGCUUUAAAGCCUAGCUGUUUCCUCCCUGAGUGAAUUUUUUGUUGGGAGGUGUUAGCUGGCCCUGAUUGUUUCCUGUGUGGAAUCCCCCUGUUUUCAAAGUGUUGUUCUUUAUUUAGUGUUCUGAUUUUAGAGAUUGUAUUGUUCUGUUUUAUUAUACCACAGUAAUUUUAUAUAUAUUCAGAUUUUAGUGUUUUUGAAUACUUGGAGCCAGAUUGUAUUCAUUUUCACAGUUCACAGCAACACAAUAAUAAUAAUAAUAAUAAUAAUAAUAAUAAUAAUAAUAAUAAUAAUAAUAGUACAGUAGAGUCUCACUUAUCCAAGCUAAACGGGCCGGCAGAAGCUUGGAUAAGCGAAUAUCUUGGAUAAUAAGGAGGGAUUAAGGAAAAGGCUAUUAAACAUCAAAUUAUGUUAUGAUUUUACAAAUUAAGCACCAAAACAUCAUGUUAUACAACAAAUUUGACAGAAAAAGUAGUUCAAUGCGCAGGAAUGUUAUGUUGAAAUUACUGUAUUUACAAAUUUAGCACCAAAAUAUCACGAUAUAUUGAAAACAUUGACUACAAAAAUGGCUUGGAUAAUCCAGAAGCUUGGAUAAGCGAGGCUUGGAUAAGUGAGACUCUACUGUAAUAAUGACUUUGGUAAUACACACUGGUUCACUCCCUUCUCAGCUUCUUUUCUGGAAGAAUCGUUUCUUGGGAGAUGUUAGCUGGCCCUGAUUGUUUCCUUUGUGGAAUUUCCAAUUUCCUGCUUUCAGAGUGUUGCUCUUUAUUUACUGUCCUGGUUUUAGAGAUUAUAUUGUUCUGUAUUAUUCUAUCACAGUAAUUAUUUCAUAUUACAGUAGAAUCUCACUUAUCCAACAUUCGCUUAUCCAAUGUUCUGGAUUAUCCAACGCAGUCUGCCUUUUAGUAGUCAAUGUUUUGUAGUCAGUGUUUUAAAUUCAUUGUGAUAUUUGGUGGUAAAUUUGUAAAUACAGUAGUUACUACAUAGCAUUACUGUGCAUGUAACUACUUUUUCUGUCAAAUUUGUUGUAUAACAUGAUGUUUUGGUGCUUAAUUUGUAUAAUGAUGACCUAAUUUGAUGUUUAAUUGGCUUUUCCUGAAUCUCUUCUUAUUAUCCAACAUAUUCACUUAUCCAACGUUCUGCUGGCCUGUUUAUGUUGGAUAAGUGAGACUCUACUGUAUAUUUAAAAUCUUAUAUUAUCUGCUUAGAACUGGAUUAUAUGAGGCCCCUUCUACACAGCUGUAUACAAUGCACACUGGAGUGGAUUAUAUGGCAGUGUGGAGUCAAGAUAAUCCAGUUCAAAGCAGAUAAUAUAAGAUUCUAAAUGGGUUAUAUAGCUGUGUGGAAGGGCCUUGAGUCUACACUGCCAUAUAAUCUAGUUAAAAUCUGAUAAUCUGUGGAAAAGGCCUAAGUGAGGCCUAAGUGUGCCUGUCCCCUGGGCUGAGUAGGUUGCUAGGAGACCAAGUGGGCAGAGCUUAGCUUUCAAACUGGCAACAAUUGGAUAAAAACUAUUAUUCCUCUCCCUGUAAUUAAGACUUUAUUUUUCUUUUCUUUUUGUUGUAUCAACCUAGAGCCGUGAUGGGUUGUGUUGUCAAAUUUCGAGGUUGGGGGGCCUGUAGUUUUGUUGUUUUGUCCGCUGCCCUGAUGCCAUCACUCUUUUAUAUAUAGAGAUGGAGCCAAUCAGAAUCUCUGAAGCAUUUCAUAACUUAAUCUUACAUAUGGUUUUUUUUCACUCCUCACUUUUAACCCUCAUCCCCAAUGCCUCUUGAAAGGGUAUAAAUAUAAUGUGUAGUUAGUUGGAAGAAGCUUGGUCUACAGCAGGGGUGGGAGUUCCUUUUGAGCCAAUGUAGCAGACUUUUGGAAGUUGCAGCCCAACAUUUGGAAAUCUGCAUGAGCCCCACACCUGCCCCUUCUUAGCAUUAGGGCUUCCAAUAAGAAGGUAUGAAAAUAAAUAAUUUCACCAUCCCACCCAACGUGUCUCAUAUACUUUCCCAGUUCUCUUCCAGGUCCCAAAUUUAUAUAGUAGUACAGUGAUCCCUCUUGAGUCUAUUCUAGAGCAUUGGAAAUUUACUUUGUCAACUAGCACUCCCAAACCUACCCAGCCAGGAUAGCCAGUGACCAUGCUGAUUUGGGGGUUGUAGUUCAAAAUAUAAUAUUUCCAAAUUGAUUUGUUCCUGCUGUAGUGGUGAGAUAGUAAAGGUAAAGGUUUCCCCUUGACACUGAGUCUAGUCAUGUCCGACUCGGGGUGGUGCUAAUCUCCAUUUCUAAGUCAAAGAGCUGGUGUUGUCUGUAGACGCCUCCUAGAUUAUGUGACCAGCAUGACUGCAUGGAGCACUGUUACCUUCCCGCUGAAGUGGUACCUAUUGAUCUACUCACAUUUGCAUGUUUUCGAACUGCUAGGUUGGCAGAAGCUGGGGCUAACAACAGGAACUCACCCCGUCUUGUGGAUCUGAACCACCAACCUUCCAGUCAGCAAAUUCUGCAGCUUAGCUGUUUAACCCAUGUGACACCAUGACCCCUAGUGGUGAGAUAGGAGAGGACAAAAAAAAAACCAAAAAGGGGGGCAUGUGAUUUCAACAUGGAACCAUAUUGGGGAUCACCCUUCUCUCUCUCUCUCUCUCUCUCUCUCCCUCUCCCUCUCUCUCUCUCAUUUGCUUAUUUGCCAUAUCCUUCCCUCUUCCUUCCUUUCUCUUGCUAUGCUAUGACCAACCCAUUUGAUUCUAUUGUGCACAGAAUUAGUUGAACUCAUGCCUGGUCCUCAGGAGGCACUGAUGAGAUUGAAAGGUCUGACACACUGGGAGGUAAAAAGGGCAUAUCUAUAAAUCUUUCAGUAGUACUUGAAAGAGUAGCUAAAAAGAGUAGCCAAUCCUUCUUUUUUUAUCUUUCCUUGUCAAAAUAUUGAACAUAUCACUGAACAUAUACUUUAGUAUGUCCUAGGAGUAUAGAAACAUGACAGUUUAAAAGAGCAUGGUUGAAUGCCAAGAAUGAUUUGUUGCCCUUAUGAUUAAUUUGUGUCUUGGUGUCUGUGUGUGCAUGUGUAAUUUAGUAUGAUUUAGUGGUCAGUUUUUAAAAGAAAAGUCAUUGCUCAUUUGUUUACAUUCAUUAAUCUUACUUAAGUUGAAAUCUGUCCUGAGUCAUUUGUGGGUCUGCUCUGAUACUAUAAAACAUGACUUAUUUAAUCCUUGCUUGAGCCCUCUGCAUUCAUCUGCAUUUCUUGACUCCCUGGUGUCACUGAAAUAAUGUACCAUGUGGAGCAGUUUAAUUUGUAAACAUCAAGGAAUCUGUGGCAAGUGUUGCAUAUGGAGCCAACAACUUUAGUAAUUGGGAAGAAAUGCCACUGAGAACACAGCAGAAAGUAGAUACAACUAGUGGAUCUUUCUCUACAGGAAGUAUUUUGCUAGGGCAUCCUCCAGCAUUUCCUAGAUGAGAACUGAGAACUCAGUUUGCAUAUAUAUACUACAGAAGUAUUACAGUUUGACAUCACAUAAACUAUCAUGGUUUCGUGCUAUAGGAUUUUGGAAUUUGUAGUUUUGUGAGAUAUUCACUCUUCUCUGUCAGAGAGUUCUGGUGCCACAACAAUCUGCAAAUACCAAGAUUCAAUAGGAUGGAGCCAUAGUGGGAAACUGCUAUUAUUCUACAGUGUAGAUCAGGCAUGGGCAAACUUUGGCCUUCCAGGUGUUUUGGACUUCAGCUCCCACAACUCAAACAAUUCCUAACAGCUGGUAUCUCAGUUUGCACCAAUAGGGGUAAUCUGAGGAGGAAUGGUGAAAAGAAGAAGUAGGUGAGAGAAAUUGAAAACAGCUGAAACAAUGAGACAGUUGAGGAUUAAACUGGACUAUCCCUGGAAGGUAAGUUAGGUCCUUCUUGAAGUGGUAAUUACAAAAAUAUACAAUAAAUGUGUUUGCUAUGUAAGGCUUUGUUGGUCUAAAGAAGGCACGCACCUGCCUGAACAUAUGCCACUCCUGUUCAAAGUAGACUUUUCGACACAGAUUCAUGUUCCCUUUGCGCAAUUACCAAGUAACUCCCAUACUCCCGUUGUCCUUUCUUACUACUGCAUGUUGAGAUAAAAAGACAUAUGUUCAGGCCUAUAGCAUUAUCUUUUGACCUAGAGUGGAAAGAAAGAAGAAUGGCUCUUUGCUAACAGGUUCAGAUCUAUGUAACCUCCCAUGUUCUGCCUCUGAAGACUCUCGCAUAACAAUUAUCAAACUGCAGCCUCAAGACUAACUCCACCUACCCAUAGGAUCAUAGGAAGCUGCCUUAUACAAAAUCAGUCCUCAGUCCACAUAGCCAAGUAAUAUCAUCUUUGACAAUGAUCCUUAUCUUUGGAGUUUCCAUACAAGAUUUUCCCUAAAGUUCUAUAGUAUGACUUGAAGUCGCCUACCCAAGUGAAAAGUCAGACCAAACCUCAAUUAACUUAAAAAAUCAGAUGAGCUUGGGUAUGUUCAAGAUUAUUCAUAUUGGGCAUGCACACUAUCAGGGUGAGAAGGAAUAUAAUUUUUUUUUCCUUUUGAUGCUGGCCCUUGCUCCUCCAGAAAAAAAUAUGCCUUGGUUUUUCUGAGUGUCAUGCACAAGAAUAAUUCUUUAGAUUUAGCAAUCCUUCACCUCAUUGAAAUCUCCAGCGGUGCAGAAGUUACUUAGUGCCCAGUGUCUUCUGGAAUCCUAAUUAGGAUCAAGAAUUGAUCCAGCAUGUAUGCAACAGUUUCAGAACCUUUCACCAAUCCACUAAUUUUUUGGAAUUUUUUUUUUUUUACCAUAACAUUUUUUAAUUUAAAAAACUGCAAGAGGGGUUCUGGGAACUGAAGUCCCAAGUGGAAUGGAAACAGUCAACCAGGCCUCUGAUUGGCUUAGAAAGAAAGUUAAAAACACACAGAGAGAAAAAUCACAACUCUCAUCAUGCUCCGAGAGGGAGCACGGGGCUCCUCAAUGCUUGCACCACACAAAGCGAGUUCCCAUUUGCCGCAACCGGGGAGGGGCUUCAGGAAGGGAUGGAGGAGUCUGCCGAGGAAGAAAGUAAAGGAGAAGGAGCAGCUUUCCUGAUUUGCAAGGCUGCUCUACCCACACGCCACCACCUCGAGUAGAGUGCCACUCAGCCUCAUUGAUCCCCAAUUAGCAAAAAAGAUCCAGUUGCUGUGAUCUGUACCGGCUAAUGCUUCAGCUGCCCCACUCCAGGCUUGAUUUCAUGGAUUUGGCAACUGAAUCCACCGAGCCACCCGAAUCCGGUACACAAAAACAAAAUCAUGCACACCCCUAUUAAAAACUGCACAGACCUUGAGCGGGACAUGUUAUGUCAAUGGCAGUCAGCUGAGAUACUGAAGUUCUGAUAGAAUACAUAAGAUUUGAAUGGAUUUAUACAAUUUUAUUGAAUAGUUACAAUGAAUUUUGAUUGACAAGUUGAAAUGAGAAACGAUAGCUGGCUGUUCAAAAGCCCAGCUUUCUUUCCUAUUUCUAUUCAUGUCUUACCUAUAUUUUUGAUAUCCAUGAAUUAGACAAUAGGGUUUUCACAAGCUUUCUUCCUUCACCUUAUGCUUUUUUCAUAUGGGAUGAGAUAGAUACAAUUUUUCCCUAUACAAAACAAAGAAGCCAUUCUGUUAGUGACAUGAGACUAGAAGAUGUUUUCCCCCUCAUUAAGAGAAACUGUUUAUGCUCUUAAGGGCUCAGAAAAUCUCAAUUAUGCUUAAUUUCCCCACUAAAGUGUGUGUUAGAGAGAGGGAAAAAAAUCUAAAGCUGUCCCCAAAGUUUGAUCAAACAAUGCACAUUCUUUGGGGGCAUUUAAAAAGUAUUUUUCAAAAAGCCUUAUCCAUUUCCCUAGAAAACCUAAUUGCACAACAUCAACACAAAUGUAUACAUUUUCUUUUUCAGUGUUAGCACCAGCCAAUAUGCAUGUCCUAGCAAAAUGGAAGAUAUAUUAUUUCUGACCAUAAUAAUAAUAAUAAUAAUAAUAAUAAUAAUAAUAAUAAUAAUAAUAAUAAUAAUAAAAACUUUAUUUAUACCCCGCCACCAUCUCCCCGCGGGGACUCGGGGCGGCUUACAUGGGGCAGAGGCCCAAACAACAUAGGACAAAACAUAGGCGACAUAAUACAAAUCACACAAUAAAUCAGUUAAAACAAAAAUACAGGAUAAAAAAUUGCAUUUAAAACACAUUUAAAAUGGUAAAAUCGUAAUAAAUACAGGAUAAUUAAAAACCCUCUGGGGCUGAUUAAUUAAUGACUGUAUCGCCAAAGGCCUGUCGAAACAUCCAAGUCUUCAGUUGUUUCCUGAAGAAAGGUAGAGAGGGAGCCAACCUAAUCUCCCUGGGGAGGGAGUUCCACAGUUGGGGAGCCACAGCCGAGAAGGCCCUCUCUCGUCCCCACCAAACGCAGUUGUGAGGCGGGUGGAAGUGAGAGAAGGGCCUCCCCGGAGGAUCUCAGCGAUCGGGUGGGUUCAUAGGGGACGACGCGGUCACGAAGAUAGGUCACCAUCAGCUCUUAGCUUUCCUCUUCCAACACAAGAUAACUAGAUGGAUUGAGACCCCUUUUUCUGAUCCUUGUUUCCCUUCCUUCAAUAAAAAAAUGUCCUUUAUCUUUCCUGUAGUCAAGUUUAGUCUAAAUUAAAAUUGGUUGUUAAUUAAAGGUGAAGAUUCAGAUGCCUUCUUUGCCAUUCCAUUCAACUGGUUUAACUGCGUACAGAUAUAAUAAUGUUUAAAACUGUUCCAACAUUACAGUGCUCUACAUAUCUCCUCUGACAUACGUGAGCAGGCACAGGAUUCAAUUUUAGAUUUCUAAGCCUGCAAACAUAACAAGUAUUUCAGAAUUCUUACUGUAAACUGUGAAUAAUAUUAUCUUUCUCUUUUGGUUUGAUAAAUAUUCUGUUUGAUACAUGGUCUCGCAGUCUGCCUUCAUUUUCCUUGUUUUGUGUGUUAUUUUCAAACUUAUAUUUGCUACCUUGGAGGGGCCCAUUGGGGUUGAAAAAUAGAAUAUUAAUAUUUGAAAUAUUUUAACUCAGUUGUAAAGGAUUGCCCCCUGUCUAACCUAACUUUGGUAGAAAGCGGAAUUGUACAAGACUGAAUACUGGCUAGACCCAGGAGACAGAUCGAUAUCUUUUGACCAAAAUGAGAAUGAAAAUAUAUAGGAGAGAAAAUAAUCUUACUUGUCAUCAAUGUUAAAAGGUGGAAGAAAUGCAGAAAUAGCUCUUAAUUGAUUGUCAAUACCACUCAGGAAAAAUCAAAUUGCUUUAAUAGCCGAGAGCAGGAUAGUCUCUGAAUGAAUUACAUUUCCCACACAAGCAUUAAAAAACCCAUGCAUUUAAGAGAAACUGGCAUUACUUUCAAUCUACCAUGCUUGACACAGAGUAAUCUUUAGGAUGUGCACUUUUGACAAACAUUUGAGGAGAUUUUCAACAGUUUAGAGCCAGAAACCACACAAAAUGUGCGUAUAAUUCAACCUGUACAUAGAUGAUGACAAAAUUUCCCAAAGCAAAAGAAAGCAAAAUAAAUCUUUGGCUGGUAGGUAAUUUUUAAGAAGUAUGACUAUAGUCAGCCAUAAAGUAAGUCAUAUUAGGAUGAUGUUGCAGGAGCCAGAGUAUUGUCCUACCAUUUCUCACUCUUUGGAUGGCGUUGGCAUCUAAUUUUGGCCAUUCUUCAUAAAAGUAGCCUCCAAAGCACUGAGUUAAAUCAGCCAAUAUUAGAGCAUCACAUCACAGGCAGAAAGGAGCAAACAAAAUAUGCUCUGAUGACUAUACAUACAUACUAUACAUACAGGCCCACAACCAGCAGGUGGUGAUAAACUGUUCUUUUAUCUCUGAUAUCUUUUGGUCUGCUAUGUGUGCUUUCAGUUCAGAGAAGUACACUUUGGAGCAGGAAGUGCCUUGCUGACAUACAGUGAUUUCUUUAUUUUAGAAAGCAUUUACAGUAGAGUGCUCCAAGUGUUCACAGGGAAGGGGUGGGAAUAAGGCAGGUUUCCACAAAAUUGCUGAACUGCAACUCCCAGAAUUUCUCAGAAUACUCUUUAUAGGUUAGUCCUCCUGAGGGCUACAAUCCAACAACAUUUGGAGGACUUCCCAUCUAAUUGCACCACAUGACAAAGAACGAAGACAACAGAUUUCCUCCAGAGAUGAGGGACCCAUUGGGACAGCUCAUCUAGCCUGGGCAUGUUGAGGUGAGGCCCCUCUCCUCAUCCAAAAGUCUCCUCCCUCCAAGAUGUUAGGGAGUAGCACAAUGUGUCACGUUCUUGAGAAACGACACUGAAAUUGAUCCCUCCUCUCCUUCCCCAUCCAAGAAGUCUGCUUUGCCCUUUCCUUUUAUUCUAAACAAAGAACUCCCUAUACGUAUCUUGUCAUGAUAGAAGGCAAGAUGGCAAAUUGUUGGCAGAUAAAUUUCGGAACACAGUGGUCCAUAAAUCGAGCCUCAGACAGGCGUUUGUCAGUCAAUGCCACUCAUUACCUUUUUCCCUAACAGGGUGAGAUGUGGUGAGUGAAGCCAUCUGGGCAGUCAGUUGACUUUGUUCCUUCCUUCACAUUUCUAAUCAGAUAAAGUUGAGGGAGGGGCAAAAUGGAUUCAGCUAGCACCUUGUGAGUCCAUUUUUCUCCUUUCUCAACUUCCAUGACUGGAAAAUGUGAGGAAGGAGCAAAGCCAGCCACCUGAGUGUCCAGAUAGUUUCAUAAUCCUGAUGUGAAAUUAUUGAAAAAUAAGAGUUGAUUGGCACUAACUGAAAAAAACCUGACUGAGGCUCCAUUUGUGUUCCCAAAUUAACAUGCCAAUAACCUGCCAUCUGGCCUUCUACCCUGACAAAUUAAGUACAGAGAAUCUUCUAGGGCUGGGUUGGGAAGAUGGGACUGCCAGUAUUUGAAGGCAAUGCUGUCAUCUUACCUUUAAGGGUCCAGCAAUAUAAUAUCAUAGAAUCAUCGAGUCAGAAGAGCCUCAUGGGCCAUCCAGUCCAACCCCCUGCCAAGAAGCAGGAAAAUUGCAUUCAAAGCACCCCCGACAGAUGGCCAUCCAGCCUCUGCUUAAAAGCCUCCAAAGAAGGAGCCUCCACCACACUCUGAGGCAGAAAGUUCCACAGCUGAACAGCCCUCACAGUGAGGAAGUUCUUCCUUAUGUUCAGGUGGAAUCUCUUUUCCUGUAGUUUGAAGCCGUUAUUCCGCAUUCAAGUCUCCAAGGCAGCAGAAAACAAGCUUGCUCCCUCCUCCCUAUGACUUCCCCUCACAUAUUUAUACAUGGUCAUCAUGUCUCCUCUCAGCCUUCUCUUCUGCAGGCUAAACAUGCCCAGUUCUUUAAGCCACUCCUCAAAGGCCUUGUUCUCCAGACCCUUGAUCAUUUUAGUCGACCUCCUCUGGAUACAUUCCAGCUUGUCGACAACUCCCUUCAAUUGUGGUGCCCAGAAUUGGACACAGUAUUCCAGGUGUGGUCUGACCAAGGCGGAAUAGAGAGGUAGCAGGACUUCUCUGGAUCUAGACACUAGACUCCUAUUUAUGCAGGCCAAAAUCCCAUUGGCUUUUUUAGCCACUGCAUCACAUUGCAUCACUCCCCCCCCCCCCCCCGUUAUCUGCUCUCAGACUGCCUCCCUCCCUUCCAGUCCUCCCACCUGCUCCAUCCUGUAGCCCACACCAAAAAAGGUGCCCAUGAUUGCUCUAUCCUGUAUGGUAUGAAUGCUGUAUCCUAGCACCAUUAACAUAUUCCCCUUGUUGGCAUGCAUCUCCCUUCAUACAAAAAUUUUCAGCUAUUGAUUGUAGCAGAGGAUUGUCUUAAGUAAGCUAGCAUUUCCUUCGUGCAAAGUGGCAGCGAGACAGUUCCUUGCUUUCAUCCUACCCCUGAAAGGACUGCCAUCACUGGUGACCCCUCCCCCCCCCUAUUGUCCUAUUUAUUAUCCUGACCCCAAGAUGCUAACCCAAUACUUGGGAAAUCUGUUUAGAUUCUGCUGGUCAAUCCUCAGACUUACAAUGUGGCAAUUCAUUGUGCUGCAAAUGAGUCCCAGUAUAAAGAGGUGACCUAUGGGAUAAGCAGUCCUCCCUCUCUCUCUAUCCAGGAAUGCUGACAGCUUAUACUUUCAUUCAUACAACUAGGCUGUUCAAUGGUCAGUCACUAGAGGCCUGCACCCUGCAAGGCAACUAUGAAUGAGAUGGGAUAUGAAGGAUAUUUGUGCACCUAAAAAGAGAGGCAAUGUAUAAAGCAAUUGAAAAUCAAAAAUCAUGAAUAAUGGUUAAUGAGUCCCAAAAGCUGCACUGGGUACAAUAGGCUGAUUCUACCAUGAAUAAAACAAAUGUAGUAAAUACUGAAAAAGAUACCUUGAAGUUACUGGUGAGGGAUCUGCAGGGUUAUUUUGCAAAAAGUCCAUUUCUAUAAACCCGGUGGCUUUUUAAGCUGCUCCUUACAUUUGAAGGAGGCUUUGGUCUUUUUUCAUCACUCAGCAGCUAGCCAAUUUUGAAAGCACUUUACAGUUGGAAAGAAUCUGAGGGAUUUACAUGCUUGAACACAUUCUAUUAAUUCUAAUGUAUUCCUGAAUUUGUAAAAGCUGGCGGGGGAUGGAGAAGGGGAGAGGGAGCCACAUCAAGAGAAAGUGGCAUCAUAAUAGGUGACUCCAUAUGGUGCACGAAAUGUUUUUUCCUGUCCUAAUUUGAUUAAUGAAAUGCAGUUGAAUCGCAGCAGGAUUUCCUUGACAGUUGUUGAUUGCACAGAAAACUGUUUUUUGCUGUCAUUCAUAUUUAAAUUGUAUUGUGCCUCUGUGAUACUAACCCUGUACCAGGAUAUGCAUAGGGUACCUAAUUUAAUUCACACUUAAAAGGAGCCUUUCAAAAAGUAUCAGCGGAUACAAGCACCGUUCUUGGCAACUCCUGUAUCAUGCAAGUUGAGGAAGAGAAAAAUAUCAGAAUUAUCAGAUGAGUAAUUCGAUUCCCCAGAUCAUUUAGAAAAAGAAGAAGAAGCUUUCAGCAGGCACAGCAAGCGCGGACCAAUUGCCCAUUGGACAAGAAAACAAAAUAGUGUUUUAAUGGGGGUGUGAAACAACUGGGAACCAUUGGAAUGGUGUAGAGAUGAAGAUGUAAAUUAUGAUAUAUUCCACAAGCCAGCUGCAUGAUGCUGCUGGGUUUGUCAUGCUUUAUUUAGUUAGUGUAUUUAUGAACUAGUUCUAAGGGAACAGGAGCACCAUUCGAAGCACAAUAACAAAGCAACUGAAAAACAGGAUAAUAUAAAACCACAGGAAGAAUAUACCCAGACAAAAUACAAAAUUGAAACAAUCCUCAUGAGCUAAAACCAAUCCCAGAAGCUUAAGUAAUAAAUUUAAAAUACUGUACAUAUUUAAAAUGGGAAUGCAAAAACAAUUUAAAAAGUCUUGAUCAGACCCUUAAAAAUAACUAUGUGGGAACCAUGCAACUUUUUCUGGGGAGACCUUUCUGAAGUUGUAUACCAACUUGAAUCUGAUUCUAGGAGAAACAUGUUGUAUAUAAUAUAAAUUAAUUAAAUAAGAUGACAGGCCACCUCUGAGAGAGCCAUUGAUAAAAAUUAGACUAUGGAAACAUAACAACCUUUAAGCAGAAGAACCCAGAUGGGUCGUAAUAUCUUAGCUGGGCCUAUUCAUAAUGAUGACUGAAAGCCACUAAUUUAUAUAUCCCCAAAUGCCUAAAACAGGAAGUAGGCACAAAAAGAGAUUUUUCAAACAGAACAUAUUUUCUGUCCUCACGGGAAGAAGACCACUGGUUUCCAAGUGGAGAGUUUCAUAAUAACUUGCUACAUUACCAUGACUACCAACUGGUCUGACCCUUGAGAUCGAUCAUAAUACACAAUUAUAGAACUAUGUUACACUUUAACUACGAUAACUAUACCCAUUCUAAUCCUGAGGUUUGUUGUUUUAUGAGGCACUAGAGCUUCCUGGCAUAGAAUUCUAAAUAGCCUUGAAUGAACUGCAAAUCCUAUGACAGUUAAAGUGGAAUCAUAGUGCUUUGAAAGUGUAGUAUAAACGAGGCCCCUGCCAUGUGAUCCAGCAUAAGUGUAAAUAAAUUCUCUGUUGUAUUGUACUUUGCUUUGGUUAGCCCUCCUGGACACCUGGAUAUCAAUAAACAGGAAGAUGUCUAGAUAUUGUCUAGGGCAACCAAGACAGUAAAGGGUGUUGAAUGUAUUUAGCCUGAAGACUAGAACGGCAAUAUGAAAGCCAUCUUAAGAUAUGUGAGGGUAUAAUAAGCUUUUUCCCUCUAUUCCAGAGAAUAGGACCCAAACCAAUGAGUUGAAAUUAUAAGAAAAUAUAAGAAAGGAGCUCCUGAUCGAACAAAAAAAAUUGUCUGUUAACCAAAGGACAACAAAAGGUAGAGUCAAGCCUAGGACUUCAUCAGAAGAGUGUAGGGCUCCAUUUCCAUGCACUGCAGAAACUGAGCCCAAUGGGAGUUCCAUGGGAGCCAUCCAGUGAGGCUCCCUAGGGCUCUGUUUCCACAGUGCAUGGAAAUGAAGCCCUACACCCAUCUUCAGGAGUCUGAUGUUACCUGAUUCUGAAUGUCCGUAAGACAGGCGAAAGCAGGGAAAAGACGGGUAAGGAUGUGGGAUGGCUGGCUAUCCCCAAGAUAAGGAAAGACCAGAGAGAACGGAGUAAGAUAGUCCCUCUGCUUUCCACCGCUUUCUCCCGCUCCAUCUGAUGAAAUUCUUAGUCUCCUUUGGAAGGGUGUUCCAGAUCUUAGAAGCAGCUGCCAAAAAGCUCUCUUCUCUCAAUAACCCUCUUUGAGGUUAUAAACACUCAUGAAUUGUUCUAAAGUGAGCAGAUUAAAAUAUACAUACCUAGACUUGGUAUGUGUUUUAGUAUAAGAGUGAGACCAAUUACAGAAAUGGUGAGUUUGGAAGGGAAAUUUGCAGGGAAAGUCCGGCGCCAUCUUUGAGGUAACUGAGGACACUCUCAUGAAAUGUGCACUGACUACUAGAAACAGCCUCCAGCUGUCUCAGUCUCCCAUUUAAGGGAAAGGCACACAUUCUAGUUAGCUUGGCAGCCUGCUUUACUGCUCUCUGAAAUAAAUACAGAGAUAUAUGAAGCUAUUCUGAAGGUAGUUUUAGGACUUCGUCACAAUAAUAAUAGAUUACAUCAAUUGUCUUCAUUUGAUUUUGGAAGCAAUCUGUUACUGUUACUGAUUUGUGUUUUGAUUUAUCUUAUUUUUAAUUUGGAUCUGCAAGGGAGAAGAGGAAGGGAGGAAGAGAGAGCAAAAGAAAAAAUAAAUGUGUGUGCAUGGAUGUGCACUCACACACACACACACUUUCUUACUAAAGAACAGCCUUGAGGAAGCGAUAUGAAAUUUGUCACCUGCUCAUCAGCAUUUGAUGUGAGAUGUUUUGCCACGGGGGUAUUUGUUGUCUUCCAAUACUGUAUACUGGCUUGCCAGAAAGCAGUUUUUUCUUGCCUCAUCUCCCUUUAAGCAAAUUGUAAUGCCUAAGAAAAUAAAUAUUUUCUUAGUGGCACAGCAGAUUAAACUACUGAGCUGCUGUACUUGCUGACUGAAAGGUCAGUGGUUCGAAUCCAGGAAACAGGGUUAGCUCCUGCCAGGGCCGUAGCUAGAAAAAAAUCUUGCAAGGGGGGGGGGGGGUUGAAAAUUUCGGGGAGGGGGGUUGAACCCCUCCCCCCCCCUACAUGCCUAUCAAUAUCUGCUUGAGAUAGUGCCUGCAAGGAUUUUAAUUUUUUGCGUCUCAUAGACGUAGCAUGGGGAUUUGGUUAACGAGUUAAAAUUCAUGAGUAAACCAGGUUUUUUUAAAAAUCUGAAAAAUUUCGGAGGGGGGGGGGGUUCUCAACCUGUGGGUCCCCAGAUGUUUUGGCCUUCAACUCCCAGAAAUCCUAACAGCUGGUAAACUGGCUGGGAUUACUGGGAGUGGUAGGCCAAAAUACCUGGGGGCCCAUAGGUUGAGAACACUGCUCUAGACCUAGGGUUUCUGUAAAGCCGAAGAAUGAUGGCAUUCUCAGAAUGCAGGAGCUUUCUGUGGUUUCACUAUUAUGGAUUGAGCUUUUCUUGAUCAGAUUUAGAUUUUUGGGGGCUUCAGAACCUCUUGUAGGAGAGAGGGACUCAUUAAGAUGAUCUGCUGCAGAGGAACUAUGGAACGGGUUGCAUACUUGAUGGUUCUUGGAAAGUUUCCUGCUGCCUCAGAAGGUGAUCCUGUCAAAGCUCUAGUUCAUGUCUGGAGUGGAGAAAGGAUUGUAGUGGACACAAUUAUUCCUAAAUUGCUUCUUAGAAAACUACCCUACUAGGCUUUCUAAGAAGCUGGUAGCAAAGAAACAAAUGAGAUAGAUGCUAGAAUGACAGUGGCAGAAAAUCAGAGUGAGUUCAACUGAAAACAAGUUCAAAUUUAUCUGAAGGCCUAUAGUAGUGCAAAAAAGCUCACUUUUCUAGUUGUUGCAGCUACACAGAAGGAUUCAAGAGAGCUGUUUCAAGUAGUCUGUGUUACAAUUUGGCCCAAAAGAGAAUUUUAUCCAUUCAGCAACCUUCUGUGAGAAUGCAUCUACAACUUCACAGGUGAAACCACUUAGAUUAACUUUGUCUUGAAUUCCAGAGUUGAUAUGGGUCCAGUGGGUUUAACCUUGGUCUUUGUUCAGUCAGUGUUGAUUGACACUUUUCAAUUAUGCAUCUCAAGAAUGUGAAAAGGAUGCUUUGAAAAUUGAGCGUUUUCACUUGUAUACCAGACCCUUGCUCAUUCUAGCCAGAGGGGAACUGGUUAAGUAAGUAAAGAAACAAAGCAGGAUACCAAACUGUCUUUAACAAAGCAGGAUCCCAAACUGUCUCAUGGAGGUAGUGGUAAGGCUGCUUUUGAAAACAAAUACUACCCUGGAUCCUGCUUUAUUGGAUAACUGCAAGCCAGUUUCAAACAAUCCAUUUUUGGGUGUGGAUUUCAAGAAUUGUGUAGCAGGUUAAGAACUGGUUGACUUUUUUUCUCCUCCCAUUAGCAAGUCAAAACAUAGUUAUGUUCUCAGGAUUUUAAAAAUGGACUGUGAUAGGGUUUUAAUACUGUGUAGUUCUGUUUGACAGUUUGUAUAAAGAUUUUAAUGACUUUGAAUGUUUUUUUUUAAUAAUGACUUUGAAUGUUUUGAACAUUCAGUGUUUUAAUGUUAUAAAUUGUGUGGUGGGUUUUUAAAUAACUUUUGUUAAUGACAGUUUUGAUCUGCAUUUUUUUCUAAAAUAUGUUGUUAGCCACCCUGCGCCCCAUUAUUGGGAGAAAAGUGGGAAUGGAAAGAAUAAAAUAAAUAAAUUAUAAAUUAGAUAGUUUAGAACUUACUUGGAGACAUUGCUUUUUGUCUUCGUUUAGUCAUUCAUUUUGCUUGCCCCAUCCUCCUUCUGGGAGAAAAACGAGACAUGUGAUGACUGCUCUGAUCCUACUCCCCCAAUCUUUGGGCUGGCCUCUCAGCAUUAUGCCAGGAGGAGGGCAAGACAGGCGAUGGCCAAGAGCUCUCCGGAGGGCUCUCAGCCGCUCCGUGCCUUCCUCCGACCGUCCUCUUGGCAUAAGGACACAGCCGUACCAUUCUUAUGCAAGGAGGAAGGUGAGACAUGAGGUGGCUGAGAGUGCUCCAGAGGUCUCUCAACUGCUGCAUGGCUUCCUCCCCCAUCCUUUCUGCAUAAGGAUGAGGCGAGCCACCGUUUCUUUAUGCUGAGAGGACAGGGAAAAUGAGAAGGGCCUGAGGUAAUCAUCCAAUAGGUUGCGUCUGGCCUCUGGGCCUUAGUUUGCCCAUGCCUGAUGUAGGGGGUGUUUUGAAUGGAUUGGGAGGAGCCAGCCUUCUGUGGUGUGAUGAGUCAAAGCACAGCAUUUUCAAAUCAUAAGAAUCCUAAUAAUCAGGUAUGAUGAGGAGAGUAUGCAUCUUGUUUCAAGACAGUAUGCAUCUAGUCCUCUAUAUGGGAUGCAUACUGAUAUAAAUGGAUUACGUAUAUCCUAAUGUGAUAAGAUCCUUUGAGCCAAAUGCCAUCCCUCCACCAAACCUACCUCUAAAGUUGUCAUGAAGAUAUAAUGGGAAGGGCGAAGAGAACUCUAAGCUCCUUAGAGGAAGGAUAAAAAUGUAAUGUAAUCUAAUAAAAGUGCUUCUAAUUUACCUGUUUGACUGUGACUUUUAUUGGCUAUACACCAAGAUCCUAAAUCAGUUUGCUAUUGACUCCUGUCUUAUUUCAAAGCCUGGAAACAUCCACAAGUCAGCAGAUUGGUUAGCAAUUAAGUAAGCUUGUUUCAAGUCAUUAAAAAGUUCUCCACAAACAAUUAAGAUGUCUGGGUGGGGAACACAGUAUUUAUCCUAAAAUCAUUGCAUGAAGAAUCAGUUCUGCAGUCCAAAAGAUCUAUUCUGAUUUUUGCCAUGCUCUGACUCACUACCUUUCUGCAAAAUCAAAAGCUUUUUGCCAUCCUUAGGGCUCACCUCUUUCAAAAGUACAUUAACAAUGAAAAGUAUUUUCCCCUCAAAAUGUCUUUUUCUAUAUGAAAUGAGCCCGACAAUAAAUUUAGUAAUAGACUUCAGUUCCUAUUUUAUGUAAUCAAAAUCCAUGUUCAGAAUUUGCCAUGGGCAAUGUGCUGUUUGAUCUUGGUAGGAUUCAGUCAUCAUCAGAGCUAGUACUUGUUCUCUUAUUGGAAAGGUAAUUGAGUUGGCCUGUAUAAUAUUGAACACUUCCACAUCUGCAUUACUGCCAUUUGCAAUGUACUCCUUUCCAACACUUUUGAGAAUUGUUUUUUGGAGGGAUGUUGCUUCUGUAAUAGAAACUCCAGUUAUAGAGUUAUUUUGGUAUCCUUGACAAAGCUAGAUGCCUAUACUCUGUCAUAUCUCUUGAUUGAUAAGAAGGAAUGUGUGUAUACAUACAGAUUGAGCAUCUCUUAUCAGGAAUUCCAAAAUCCCAAACUAUCCACAUGAGUGGCUAAAUAAGUGACAUCUUUGCUUUCUGAUGGUUCAGUAUGCACACAAGGUAACUAUUUUUCAUAAUUUUAAUUCACCACAAAAAUAUUGUAAAUAUCGUAUAAAAUUAUAUUCAGGAUAUGUAUAUAAGGUGGGUAUAAAACAUGAAUGAAUGUUGUGUUUAGAUCUGGGUCUCCUCUCCAAUAUAUCUACAUCUGCAAAUACAGGGAUUCCAAAAUCCUAAAGAACCCAAAAUAUAAGACAAUUCCAAUCUCAGGCAUUUCAGAUAAAGCAUACUCAACCUCAAUGUAUUUUCACAUGUCUCUUUAUUUCACAAUUCAUCUUCAUCACUGAAGUGUAUGUCGCAUUUUGACUUGGCUUGAUUUGAAAACACUCAUCAUCAUCAUCAUCAUCAUUAUCAUCAUCAUCAUUGGAUAUAUUCAAAACCAAAGUCUGAAGUUAAGUGAUUAACAUAAAAGAAAAGCCCUGCUUGAAAUAAUAACAUUAAAAACAAACCAUCUAUUAAAAUGCACUAUAGCUCCAAGAUCAUGAAACCUCAGUAUCUGAAACUUGGUGUAUAUAUUAAAGAGUUCCUGACUGCAUACUAUAGGGCCAUAUUAAGGACAUUGCCAUGCAAAUAAAACUUCCGUCCUCCCCCAAGACAUUGUCUUUCAGUCCCCACAUUUCUAGCAUUCCAGAGAAAUCCUUGAAAUCCUUGAAAAUCAUUAGUGGCCCAGACACUUAUAUUUGCUGUGUUCACAUCCACACAGUAACUCUGUCUGUUUAUUUUGUUUGGAUGCCUAAAUGCCGAAUGUUUGGAUGCCUAAAUGCCAAAACUUUCAUUUGGGGGAACCAGAAUUUUAAUUGGGAGUCAAUACCUUGAUUUUUUUUCCCUUCUGCAGCUACACCCUGCAGAUGUACAAUUAUAUGUAUUGCUUUUUUAUGGGUUGAUUAAUUUUAAUUGUAUAAAAUCUACCUGUAGUCUGCACUACUAUAUUGAGUCACUGGAUGGCAGACACUAGACUCCUCAGGGAUGAGAGGUUUUUUCAGGAACAUAAAAGCUUAAGGCUUGAUCCAAAUGCUUACCACUGGUUACAGGCAGGACUGAGAUUGGACUUACAUUUUGUUUUGUUUUUCCAGACCUGAAAUGACACAGAUUGUAUUUUUGUGUAGUUCAGCAGCCUUGAGGACCUUUCCUUUUCCCCAUUCCAAUAGUAUGUGCAUAUGUAUGUGUGUAUGUAUGAGUAUAUACAAAGAAAGGAGGGAAGGAGAAUAUCCAAUGCUGGCAGGAGAAGAAAAAAAUGCUGUAUGAGGACAGAUGAUGAAGUAGGGUAAAGUAUGAGACUACAGAACUAGAAAGUACACCGACUAUACUGUACCACUGACUUUUUACCUUGAUUCCAGCAAUUAGCUGGCCUAGAAUCCCAACUUCUUUUGUCUAGAACACUGGUUUCUUAACCAGUGAGUCCCCAGGUGUUUUGGCCUACAACUCCCAGAAAUCCCAGCCAGUUGAUUAGCUGUUAGGAUUUCUGGGAGCUGAAGGCCAAAACAUCUGGGGCCCCACAAAUUGAGAACCACUAGUCUAGAAAUACCUAAAAGGUAAAUAUUUUCCCCUGACAUUAAGUCUAGUCAUUUCUGACUCUGGAGGUUGGUGCUCAUCUCCAUUUCUAAGCUGAAGAGCCGGUGUUGUCCGUAGACACCUUCAAGGCCUGCAUGACUGCAUGGAGUGCUGUUACCUUCCCUCCAAAGCGAUACUUAUUGAUCUGCUCACAUUUAUACCUAGCCCUAAAGAAAUUAAGGGUACAUCUACACUAUGGAUUUAAUGCAGUUUGAUACCACUUUAACUGCCAUGACUCAAAGUUAUGGAAUCAUGGAAAUUGUAGUUCUUUGGUAGAGGAUCUUUAGAAUUCUCUACCAAAGAGUGCUGAUGCCUCACCAAAUAACAACUUCCAGGAUUCUAUAGCAUCAACCAAUACAGUUUAAGUGGUGUCAAACUGCGUUAAUUCUACAGUGUAUAUGCACCCUUUCUCCAACAUUCAAGCCACUGUAGUCCAUUAUACAGUGUUUCAAAAAGACGGACCUGUGGAUUAGAGGAAAUUUUAUGCACAUAUUGAAAUGUACUAUACAUCCCUUUAAAAUGGAAUCAUGUGUAAGUGUGUAAGUAUUCAUCUAUAUGAAUUAACAUACCCAAAUUUUAUAGAAACUAGCUACUCAGCAGGACAUGGACAAUGAAAUCUUAAGGAGAGUGGGUCUUCAUAGAUGGAGAACUUCAUGUCUCAUGGCAUAUGAUAUAGUUUGUUUGAAACUGUCACUGCCCAUUCUAAACAUACAGAGUUGUCUGUCCUUCAUAUUUAACUCAAUGGUUUUGGUUUUGUGUAUAAAUAUAAAUGAAGGUUUCUGUAGUCCAUAGUGAGGGAUCUUUCAUCAGUGGAAUGGGGGGGAAGUAGUAAAUUAAACUGAAAGAAUAUAAAAUCUAAUUUCUCCUCGCAUCUGCAAAUCACCCCUUCCAUAUUAAUAGAAUCUGAUUAUUUAAACAGAAAUAAUCAGAUUUCUCCUGAAAUGAUUCCCAAACGUUAAUGGCUGCUCAAAGGGAUUUGCAUCACAGAUGCAUUUGAUCCAUUAGCUUAAAAUUCAGGCAACAUCUCUUAGGAAAGAAAGAAACAAUGCACAGAUGUGUCAGUCUGAGCUUUGUUGAAGCCUUCUGCAAUAAGAGAUGUACCAUCUGCAAGAGAGAGGGGGGAAAUUGCUUUGUGUGGGUGUACGAGCAAAGGGAUCUCCCAAUGGGAAAAGUUUGAACAGCCCUCCUUCAAAAGAAAAGUUUGUCCGCAUUAAAACUUAACUGCUCUAACUUGGCAGUUCAGCUGUUAUGCUGCCAGUUUCCUAUUAGUUUUUCCACUUGUCAAGUUUAAAAAUCUUCAAGGCUUAUGAAAAAUCCAUAACCACAGGAAAAGCAAGGCACCAAUGUAUGCAAUCUAAUUUAGCUCUCUGCUUGUGGAAUACUGAAGAAUAGGUGACAGUACUUUUGAAAUAUUUUAAAAGCUGAGGACGUUAUUUCUUUUUUGUGAUUCUCUUUUAGUGUAUCUUCCACCCUGACUACAAACUAGAGGUGAUGGUAAUUGUAUCUUUCCAUUUAAUAUGCAGGCUUUUAAAAAACCAAACAAAUGCAAUCACUUGCAGGCUGAAUUACAGCCAUUGCAACUGGUGGGGAGAGAAUAUGCUAACCUUUUUUUCACCUGCUCUGGUCUUAAGAACAAAUUGUCCCUGGGGCCAAAAAACAAGUUUGAUCGAGAUUUACAGCAGAAGAACUAGAAUGAACCAAAUUAAAAUGGAAAAGAAUGUAAUAAUUUCAGUUAUGAGUACUUUGUCUUUGGCUUCAUCUAUACCAGAUAUGGGCAAACUUUCUAACUUGGGUAGGCCAGGCCAAGGUGGACUGGGAGGGAGGGAGUUCUCCCCAAGCCCCCUCCCCUCCCUUUCCUCCCCUUCCUCUUCGCUUUUGGAGGCAGAAAGUGAAGGAAGGACAGGAAACAUUUGGAUCCCAAAAGGGCUGGUGUACAGGAGAGAAAACGUGUGUUCAUUAGACCCCAUAUUGCCAAUCCCUGAUACAGAAUCCUAGAGCUGGAAGAGACCUCCGAGGGCCAUCCAGUCCAACCCCCUACCAUGCAAGAAAGCACAAUCAAAGCACUCCCAAUAGAUAGCCUCUGGAGAAAAGCCUCCAGAGAAGGAGACUCCACUACACUCCCAGGCAGCCUAUGCCACUCUCCAACAGCUCUUACUCUCACAAAGUUCUUCCUAAUCUUGUCAGUCACAUCACUUUUCCUGCCAUUGCUCCCUUGUGCCCUGGUCUCUAGAGCAGCAGAAAGUCAGUUUUCCCCCUCUUUCCUCCUCAACGGGAACCCUCUGAAAUCUUGAAAUACGGUUCUCAUGUUCCCUCUCAACCAUCUCUUCUCUCAGGUAAACAUCCCCUAGGAGGAAGGAAAAAGAGAAGAAAGGGAGGGGAGGGAGGUAGGAAUAGAAGGAUGGAUGGAAGGAAGGGGGGAAGAUAAUGGAGGGAGGGAAGAGAAAGGGAAGGAAAGUCAAAAGGGAGGGAGGGAGGGAGGGAGGGAAGGAAGGAGAAAGGGAGAGAGGGAAGGAGGGAGGAAAUAGGGAAGGAAUGAAGGAUGAAAGGGUGGAAGGUGGAGGGAAGGAGGGAAGAAUUAAGAGGGAGGUAAGGAAGAAAGGAAAGGAUGGAAAAAGGAAGGAAAAAGAGAAGGAAGGAAGGAAGGUUAGGAUGGUGAGAUUAAGGAGGGCCUGAGAAAAGAGCCCAAGGGUUUGCCCAUACCUGAUCUAUACUGUAGAAUUAAUGCAGUUUGACACCACUUUAACUGCCAUGCUCAGUGCCAUACAAUCAUGGGAGCUAUAGUUUUACAAAAACUUUAGCCUUCUCUGCCCAGAAGUGUUGGACCAUCACUAGGGACCUCAUCCCAUGAGCGGUGGGAAAGCAGGGGGGAAAAGGAGGGAACUGCCACCCCAUGUUUUUACUGUAUCAAUGCCUGUCUUCCCCUUGCUUUUUCUAACUUUCUGCUAUUUGGAGUCAAAAGACAGAGGAGCCAAAUAGGAAGCAGGGAAAAAUGGGGAAACAUGGGAAAGAAAACUACGGACACUGAUAGAAGGUAACAGAGCCUGACAGCUUCCUCCGGUGCCCCACAAUUGCCUCAAGAUUGCCCCCUCUUUCCCCCGCCUUACCUCUGCUCAUAUGAUAAGGUCCUGAGCCUCUCAUGUAUGUAUAUGUAUGUGUGUAUAUAUGUACGUGCACACACACACACACACACAUUCCUUCAUUCAUUCUUUGGUUACUUUUUUUUUUUGCAGGCCUGUAUCUUUGGGGGGGGGGGGGUUGGUAAGUGUUCAACCCCUCUGAAAUGUUUCAGGUUUUCAAAAAACCUGAUUUACUCAUAGUUUUUUUUUACUGGUUGACCAAUUCAUGAGUAAACCACGUUUUUUAAAACCUGAAACAUUUCAGGGGAGGUUUGAACACUUAACAGCACACCCCCCCCCCCCCCCGGAUACAGGCCUGCUUUUUUGUUCCCCCCCCCCAAGUUGUUUUCUCAAGUUCUAUAUUGAAAUGAAAUUUUGUAAUAUCACAGUGAAGCAAGAUUCUAAUUAUGUUUGACUGUUGAUAGACAAUAUAGAAAAGAAAAGCAGGCAAGCAAAUGCCACAGAAAUGUAAUUUAUUGGGUAAGAAAAAUAUUUAUAAGCUCUUUUUAUUUGAAAUCACUUGUUUUGAAUGAGGCCCUUUCACCACUUCAUCUGCAUACAUGUGUUUCAAACUGAUGUACAUUCUUAAUAAAGAUUAUCAGAUUUAUUGUUUUAAAUGACCUGUUAAUGGCCAUAAAAAUCUUCAACACAUUGACAAUUUAGCUGAGAACAAUUUUUUUCUCUCUGAACAGUAAACUCAUGAACAGUAAACAUAACUGACUAUGCUCUCAAAAACUUUGUUGGCAAAUUGUGUCUUUGUUCAUCACCACCAUUGAUUGUCCACAGAUUGGAGUAUUUUCUGCAUCCAAAGAGAAGAUGACCUGUUUGUAACACAUAGGCAUUAAUCAAGGGCCCGGUUACCGUUUCAGCAAUUAAAUUUGUGUUUCUGUACUGUUUUGUACAUUCAGGAUGUAGGAAACUUUACAUCCCCCUCCGGCAUGGAAACAUCAGUGAAAUGAAAGUUAAGUAGAGAUGGUAACCAUUUGUUUGUCUGAUUUUUGGCUUUCUGCUGCAGGCCUGGCAGGGCCUACAGCCGGGUACUGUGUGAGAGGCAAUAGGCGCGUUCGGAUUUAGGCCUGGAAGGUCCUGGCAGGGCCUAAAUCUGAGUGCACUGACUGCCUAUCACCUCUCGCUCGGCUGUAGGCCCUGCCAGGGCCUAAGAUUGUGGCCCUUGGCACACUGGGAUUUAGGCCCUGGCAGGGCCUACAACCGAGCACUGAGUGAGAGGUGAUCAGUGCUUUGCGUGCUCGAAUUUAGGCCCUGGCAGGUCCUACAGCCAAGCACCAAGUGCCAAGCACUGAUAGGUGAUCGGCACACCUGUAUUUAAGCCCUGUCAGGGGCUCUCGAUGCACACCUGUAGGCUGUAGGGUCUGCCAGGGCUUAAAUCCGAACAUGAUGAUCACCUCUCACUCAGUGUUCGACUGUAUGCCCUGCCAGGACUUAAAUCCCAGUGCACCGAGGGCCACAGAUUUAGGCCCUGGCAGGUCCUGGCGCUUUUCCAUCCAAAGUCCGAAAAUAUUUGGGGGGGUUGGACCUUGGAUGGAAAAGCUCAUUCAGAAAUGCACCCAUUUUCAGGAGAGGUGAUUGAAAAUGAAAAUGGGGCCUUAAGAAUGAAACAAAUAGUGAUUCCAUACAAAUGCACAAGACUAUUAGGCACAUAUAGUAUGCAACCUCCAAAAAAAUUGUCUAUGCUAUAAAGAUGGAAAAGCUGUGUAAUGAUAUACAGUCAGUCCCUGAGUUACAAACAUAUGACUUACAAAUGACUCCUAGUUAAGAACAGGAGGUGAGAUAAAUCUACCACUAGGAAGGGAAAUUCACCCCUGAAAGAGUUAUCAUGGGGAAAAACUGCAAAUCCCAGGAUUGCACAGUAUUGAGCCAUGACAAUGAAAUUAGAAAUGUCACAUGCACGCACAUACACACGCACAUAUAUAUGGCUGUAGUUACACUUAAAAAUGUACUUGUUCUGACUUACAUCAAAUUCAACUUAAGAACAAACCUAUAGAACCUAUCUUGUUCGUAACUUGGGGCCUGCCUGUAUAAACAUAAUUCACAUGCUCAACACAUGCCAGUAUGGCACAUAUUUACCUUUUCCUUUGCAUUUGUGCACACUUUGUUUUUAUCCUUAGUGGCAAAUUCAUUGUUAUGUAGAAGUUUACAAAUGGUGGAAGGAAACUUUCAGAACUUAAAAAUACUAUCUGUUGGGUUGGUUGGCCAUUGUGGUCUGCUCCAACUCUAUGAUUCUAUGUUAGAAACAUUGAUUUACCAUUGGUAGGAAUGUUAUUUCCCAGGAGGUGGGAAAAUGGGUAACUUUGAUCAGGGUUUUGGCACCUACCCAGUAUUUACUCAAGCCUAAUAGAAUCUAAUGCACACCUCAAGUUUCAAAACCCUGAAACCAAAAAAAGCAUUUGCUGCCUAAUGUAGUGUGCAGCAGCAAAAGGUGCACUUUUUGAAAUUUGUCCAUUACAGUUGCUGCCUGUUUAGAAUUCGUUCUUUAAAAACAAAAGUGUUAAAACAACAAAGCUUUCAGCAAUGGAAAAUAAACCUUGGGGUAUAUGAUAUUUCCCCUUUCCUUUGCUUCCUGGGGGAGAACUUUGGACGGAACAAAAACACCCCAUGAGGGAUAUGAUUGUUUAUCACUACAUUUUGCCAUUUGCAGAGACUUUUCCCUUAAAAGACAGCAUUCUAGCACCACCCUCUUCUUCGUAAGGAAUGUUGUUUGCUUAGAGACCCAGCAAGAACUGGUUGGGAGAAGUUACUGUGUUUUGUACAGGAAAUCCCAGCGGUUGCCUUCCUUUUGGUUGUUUCUUUUGUUUCUUAUUGGUUCUAGCCACUUUUGAUAGUUAUUUGUAUUUCUAUGCCUUCCUACAUUUCAGAAAAGAAGAUGAAUUUCUGAAAGAGAGUGAGGGGAAAAAGUCUGGUGUAAAGCAAAAAAAAUCCAACAAGCAGGCAAUAUGACAACACACAUUCCAGUGCUAAGUGAAAAUAUUGGCAUAUGAAUGGACUAUUCCUGUAUCAUGUUGUCCAUCCCAAUCAAACCCAAGUGGUGCACUCUAGUCUUUAAUUUUCUUGAAAUAGAAAUAGUGUGAGGAUAUACACAAAAAGUAAACAACACACUUGGUCUUUACAUCAUCCUAGUAAUAAUAGUAACAAUUCCUAAGCAUGAACACAUUCAGAUUCAUGUGUACUUCAGGGAGUAGAAGAGAUGUAGCUUGGUUUUGGAUAUUGUGGACCAUUAUGGCUUGCCAUAAGACAAUGUUCAUUGUUUCAGAACUGGGAAAGUUUGGUUCUUUUUACUUUGCAGAAAGGAGAGCUGACUAAUGGGGUAGCACAAUAUUGACUACUAAUUUCAUUAGCCCUGUUGAAUCUGUGAAUAAACUUUGGGGGUGGGGUGGGGGUGGAGAUAAGAAUACAAACCAUUCAGCUGUGUUGCUGCACUCCAGAAGUAGAGAAGUUAACUGGACUAGCAUUGAAAUUUUUUUAAUCACUGAUAGCAAAAUAGGGGUCCUCCACAUCAUCUGAGGGCACGAUGCCAGUAUAGAGGAUUCGGGGCAGACUAUGUGGCAUUCACAGUGCUGAUAUGAACACCAUCCAAAAGGCUUGAAAGGAAUAACUGAAAUAAGUACCACUGCUGUGCCCAGCACGUGCCAUUUAAUGUGGUUGCUUCAUCUGCUUAAUAGAAAGGACCAAAUAUAUUGUGUGUGCCUUCAAGUCACCCGUUGAUUUAUGGUGACCCCUUAAAUUUCAUGGAGUUUCUUAGGCAAGGAAGGGUCAGAAGCAGUUGACUGAAAUAUAGUACAUUUACCCACCAGUGUUAUAGGAUGGAGGCUAUCAUCUGCCAAUCGUAGAAGUUGCUCCUGUAGAAUUCUGGGAAAUGUAGUUCAGUGUGGAGGCUUUGGAAUUCUCAGCUAAAGAGGUCCUCAGCUUCUCUAAACUACAUUUCCCAGAAUUCUGCAGGAGCCUCCAUUCUAUUACGCUCCAUAGCCUGCAGCACCCGGUAUUCACUGGUAGUCUCCCAUCCAACUACUAACCAGAGCUGACCUUGUUCAGCUGUGCCUUUAGGGCAUUUAGGCUCUCCCUAGGAUAACACAAAUGAAUACUGUACAUUCUUGAUUUCUUCAGUCAUAAAUUUUAAACAAACAGUCAAAAUAUCCCAAUAGCCAUACAGCCCGAAAAACUCACAGCAACCCCAUCUAAACAUCUUUCAAAGCCUAGAAUGGUAUUUUAAUUGGGUAGUUUCACCUUCUUUUUAUCUCUGAAGUUUAAUGGGAACUUAGGGAGAUUCUUCCUAACAGAUAUCUAAAACGGCAUCUGGCAGUCCCUAUGAGAUGUUCUUUUUUCCUACGCCACUGGAUUAGAUGAGAUGCCAAAAUAAGAUAUGCAGGAUUUGGGGGCUGAUACAUUUCUGUCUGCACGUUUUAAUAGUGUCAUGGCACAUUGUUAUUGUAAAACCUGAACUCGUGCUUGGAUGCCCCAUAAAAAGAGGUUUUGCUCUAGUAAACGACUUUAGUGCUUAUCAUAUAACAAUAAUGGCUUUAACAUUAAAGCUAAAAGCACACAUUACAGAUUGACUAUAGCAAGCUGUGAACUCCAUUAUUUUCAAUCAAAUAAGGUUACAAUCCAUUUAAAGGCUCACUGCCUUUUGUGGUGAACUAUCUGGAAAAAAUGUAAGUUGUCCAUAGAUAAUAAUAGGACAAAGUUACCCUCAUUUCAGUGGCCACAUUCAGUUUAGUUCAAGUAUAAUAUUUAGGCUGGCCCAUGUUAUUGUACUGACUGAGGGAGAGCAUUUGUGAUUCCAUAUUAACUCACCAUUAAACAACUGAUUGAAUUUGGGCUAACCAAUUGGACACCAGCCAUAAUCAUGUAUGGUAAGGGAGCUCAAUACCAAAAAGACCAAUCCAAUGUGUUUUAUUUUGGCACCUUUACCAGAAAAACCACAUCAACUGUGGGUACAAAAUGGCCAAUGAUAUAGCUAGAUAAAGGCAAUCAUAAAAGCCAAAACCCAAAACCAAAACCUCAUACAGGUUGAACACCCAUUUAUCUGGAAUUCCAAAAUACCUUUUCCAGAAAUUCCUUAUCUGGAAUUCCAAAUGCAAAAUAUUUCAAAUGUUGUUCAGGCACUUCUGUGGACAAUUCCAGAUUUUGAAGUAUUUCAGAUUUCAGAAUUCCUGCUAAAGUAUACCCAACCUGUAUAAUGUCUCAUGAGAAGAUAUUUUUGCAUAAUAACUUUGUAACCCUUUAAAAAAAACAGAGAAAAGAUUUGUUCUUCAAACUGUAGGAUGACCUCAACAAAUCAUGCCUCCACAGAAAAAGAAAAACUUUGAAGAGCCCUAAGAGAUCUAAGACAUUUCUAAAAACUGCCCCCAGAAAAGCAUGAAACACGUGGACACAGAGGCAAUAGCAAACAGCCAAUAUAAUGAGAAUUCAUGCUUCUUUAGACCAGUCAGGAAGACGUUAAAGCAUUUUUUGGGGUGCCAAAAAUCAAAGGAUCAUUACUUUAAUGCGGUGCUGGGGCUUGAGUGCCUCGAUGAUGCCAUGAGCUAAACCAUGCAGGGCCACCCAAGACGGGAAGGUCAUGGCAGAGAGGUCAGAUUAAAUACGAUCCUUAGGGAAGGUAACGGCAACCCACCCCAUAUUCUUGCCAUGAAAACUACAUGGAUCAGUACAACCAGAGAAAUGUUGGUAUACCAUCGGAAGAUAGGACUCCCAGGUCGGAAGAUGGUCAAAAUGCUACUGGGGAGGAACAGAGGACUGGUUCAACUAGCUCCAGAUGUGAUGAUGCAGUUAUCUCAAAGCUGGAAGGAAGGCUAACAGCCGACGGUGCUGGAGUUGAACGACGAAUCCGAUGUUCUAAAGAUCAACACACUAUAGGAACCUGGAAUGUAAGAUCUAUGAGCCAGAGCAAACUGGACAUGGUUACUGGUGAGAUGUCAAGAUUAAAGAUAGACAUUCUCGAAGUCAGUAAACUGAAAUGGGCCAUUUCACAAAAGAUGACCACCAGAUCUACUAUUAUGGACAAGAGGAACACCGAAGAAAUUGAGUAGCCUUCAUAGUUAAUAAUAAAGUUGGUAAAGCAGUGUUUGGAUACAACCCAAAAAAUGAUAGAAUGAUCUCAAUUUGAGUUCAAGGUAAGCUGUUUAACAUCACAGUGAUCCAAAUAUACGCCCCAACCACAGCUGCUAAAAAAGCAGAAUUAGAUCAGUUCUAUGAGGGUCUGCAGCACCUACUGGAUAACACACAAAAAGGGGACAUUAUUUUCAUUACAGGAGAUUGGAAUGCUAAAGUGGGCAGUCAAAUGAUAACCGGGAUCACAGGCAAGCAUGGUCUGGGACAACAAAAUGAAGCAGGACAUAGGCUGAUAGCAUUUUGCCAGGAAAACUCACUGUGCAUAACAAACACUCUCUUCCAACAACCUAAAAGACGGCUUAACACAUGGACUUCACUGAAAUUAGAUUGACUACAUCCUCUGCAGCCAAAGGUGGCGGACAUCCAUCCAGUCGGUGAAAACAAGACCUGGAGCUGACCGUAGUUCAGAUCACGAACUUCUUAUUGCACAAUUUAGAAUAAAACUAAAGAGAAUGGGGAAAAUACACAGACCAAUUAGAUAUGACCUAACAAAUAUCCCUAGUGAAUAUGCAGUGGAGGUGAAGAAUAGAUUUCAGGGACUAGAUUUAAUAAGUAGAGUCCCAGAACUAUGGACAGAAGUUCACAACAUUGUUCAGGAGGUGGCAACAAAGUACAUCCCAAAGAAAAAGAAAACCAGGAAGGCAAGAUGGUUGUCUGCUGAGACACUGGAAGUAGCCCAAGAAAGAAGGAAGGUGAAAGGAAACAGUGAUAGGGGGAGAUAUGCCCAAUUAAAUGCACAAUUCCAGAGGUUAGCCAGAAGAGACAAGGAACUAUUUUUAAACAAGCAAUGCACGGAAGUGGAAGAAGACAACAGAAUAGGAAGGACAAGAGACCUCUUCCAGAAAAUCAGAAACAUUGGAGGUAAAUUUCAGGCAAAAAUGGGCAUGAUCAAAAACAAAGACGGCAAGGACCUAACAGAAGCUGAAGAGAUCAAGAAUAGGUGGCAAGAAUAUACAGAAGAUUUGUAUAGGAAGAAUAGUAAUUUAGAGGAUAGCUUUGAUGGUGUGGUGAGUGAAUUAGAACCAGACAGCCUGAGGAGUGAGGUUGAAUGGGCCUUAAGAAGCAUUUAUUUAUUUAUUUAUUUAUUUAUUACAUCAUUUCUACCCCGCCCUUCUCACCCCUCAGGGGACUCAGGGUGGCUUACAACAUGAACAUAUACAUCAAAACAAUUUAUAUCACGUUUAAAAAUCCAUUUAAAUUAAAAAUUACAUUAAGAUUGAGAGCUUACAUUUAAAAAACCCUACAUAGUUAUACAUAUAAAUAUACAUUCAGGCGCAUUUCAAGUGGGG
This is a long non-coding RNA of Anolis carolinensis (green anole), 42895 nucleotides long. RefSeq lists it as uncharacterized. NCBI's taxonomy places the organism in Eukaryota, Metazoa, Chordata, Lepidosauria, Squamata, Anolidae. The transcript is spliced from 2 exons. The record is from RefSeq and is a predicted model, not a curated record.